This 23-nucleotide non-coding RNA is filed under the name Cricetulus griseus (Chinese hamster). The record is from RNAcentral. Lineage: Eukaryota; Metazoa; Chordata; Mammalia; Rodentia; Cricetidae.
UUCAUUGGAAGCAGUUCUCACAG